UGGGGAAUUUUGGACAAUGGGCGAAAGCCUGAUCCAGCAAUGCCGCGUGUGUGAAGAAGGCCUUCGGGUUGUAAAGCACUUUUGUCCGGAAAGAAAUGGCUCUGGUUAAUACCUGGGGUCGAUGACGGUACCGGAAGAAUAAGGACCGGCUAACUACGUGCCAGCAGCCGCGGUAAUACGAAGGGUCCAAGCGUUAAUCGGAAUUACUGGGGGUAAAGCGUGCGCAGGCGGUUGUGCAAGACCGAUGUGAAAUCCCCGAGCUUAACGUGGGAAUUGCAUUGGUGACUGCACGGCUAGAGUGUGUCAGAGGGGGGUAGAAUUCCACGUGUAGCAGUGAAAUGCGUAGAGAUGUGGAGGAAUACCGAUGGCGAAGGCAGCCCCCUGGGAUAACACUGACGCUCAUGCACGAAAGCGUGGGGAGCAAACAGG
This 429-nucleotide ribosomal RNA is filed under the name Bacillota bacterium. RNAcentral's name for it is "Firmicutes bacterium partial 16S ribosomal RNA". It matches the Rfam family "Bacterial small subunit ribosomal RNA", at positions 355 to 776 of the family's 1533-position model. Lineage: Bacteria; Bacillati; Bacillota. The record is from RNAcentral.